UACAAGAUCUGCUGGUUUUAAAAAUGGGAGUUUCCCUGCACAAGCUCUCUCUUUUUGUCUGCUGCCAUCCAUGUAAGACGUGACUUGCUCCUCCUUGCCUUCCGCCAUGAUUGUGAGGUCUCCCCACCUACGUGGAACUGUGAGCACACAAGCGGGGUUGCAACAAGGAACUGGCAACCAUGUCUGAGGAAGGCUGGACUACAGGUUCGAAUCUACAUCCGUAACAUGAAUUCUGUAAGAAAGAAGAGGCAACAACACUCUGUCCACUGAAAAAGCGUUGAGGAAAUGACAACCCAGGAGCAGUGAGACCACCUGGUACCCAGAUCUUGAUUUCUAAACACUGUUACCCACCAAGAGGAACUAAAAUUUUCUGCAGAAAUGGCUGACUAUCCAUGGAAAUGAAGCUCCAAGUGAAGCCCAGGAUGUCCUACGGUCCCAAGAAGGAGGGAGAGGCUUAAAAACUCCUGGGGUCAUGUGGAAAGGAUGUGAAACUGACUUGAGGGAUCCACCUAGUGAAGUUUGGGACUACUGAGCAUCAAUAAGAAUGACCGUAGUUAAUGAAAAUACACUAAACAAAUAGAAAAUU
Molecule: long non-coding RNA, 586 nt
Organism: Callithrix jacchus (white-tufted-ear marmoset)
Lineage: Eukaryota; Metazoa; Chordata; Mammalia; Primates; Cebidae
Source: RefSeq, a predicted model, not a curated record